This 126-nucleotide small RNA is filed under the name Salmonella enterica subsp. enterica serovar Heidelberg. RNAcentral describes it as "partial RtT sRNA". It matches the Rfam family "RtT RNA". From Rfam's summary of the family: This family represents a bacterial cis-regulatory element known as RtT RNA. The exact function of RtT is unknown although it is thought that it may be involved in changing the cellular response in relation to amino acid starvation. The record is from RNAcentral. RNAcentral also lists the same sequence under 6 other names. Lineage: Bacteria; Pseudomonadati; Pseudomonadota; Gammaproteobacteria; Enterobacterales; Enterobacteriaceae.
UCUCUGUACGGGAAGGAUGAGAAGCUUCGACCAAGGUUCGAUUCGAGCGCAGCGAGAAAGCGUUGCCGCAGGCAACGACCCGAAGGGCGAAGCGCGCAGCGCUGAGUCAUCCUUCCCCCACCACCA